Molecule: ribosomal RNA, 253 nt
Filed under: uncultured bacterium
Lineage: Bacteria
Description: partial 16S ribosomal RNA
Rfam family: Bacterial small subunit ribosomal RNA
Source: RNAcentral
UACGUAGGUGGCAAGCGUUGUCCGGAUUUACUGGGCGUAAAGCGUCCGCAGGUGGCAGUUCAAGUCUGCUGUCAAAGACCGGGGCUUAACUUCGGAAAGGCAGUGGAAACUGAACAGCUAGAGUAUGGUAGGGGCAGAGGGAAUUCCUGGUGUAGCGGUGAAAUGCGUAGAGAUCAGGAAGAACAUCGGUGGCGAAGGCGCUCUGCUGGACCAUAACUGACACUCAGGGACGAAAGCUAGGGGAGCGAAUGGG